GGCUGCGUAGUGUAGCGGUUAUCACUUCAGAUUCUGAUGUUAUCAUCUCAGCAUUCUGGCGACCCCGGUUCGAUUCCGGGCGCGGCCU
Molecule: non-coding RNA, 88 nt
Organism: Mycena epipterygia
Lineage: Eukaryota; Fungi; Basidiomycota; Agaricomycetes; Agaricales; Mycenaceae
Source: the annotation of a GenBank genome assembly